Molecule: long non-coding RNA, 363 nt
Filed under: Androctonus crassicauda
Lineage: Eukaryota; Metazoa; Arthropoda; Arachnida; Scorpiones; Buthidae
Source: RNAcentral
UUGUAUAAAACACUCGAAAUCUGUAGGGCAGCCCUUCGUCUUUACUUCUUCUUCUUAGUACUAUGGAGGCUAUAGCUUUGUUACUUGGACAGUUGCUCGUUCUCUUAAAUAACGUAUAUGUGCUACGUCAUACAUCACGUGACAUUUCUAUACUGGUUAAAAAACUUCCGUUUGCCGUACAAGACAUCUCUUAGAAGUUUGUUUGUAAAACUUUCGAGUAAAUUAAAUUCUGUACUGUUACAUGUUCCUAACAAAUUUUGUCGCAAAAAAAUAACCGUUAUCAGGCCUAAAUUCGCAGCAAUUAUAAUCCCUAUCACAUAAAGUCUCGACAUCAUCUUCUCCAUUGCUAUCUUUUACUUCGAU